GACGAACGCUGGCGGCGUGCUUAACACAUGCAAGUCGAGCGGUAAGGCCCUUUCGGGGGUACACGAGCGGCGAACGGGUGAGUAACACGUGGGUGACCUGCCCUCAGCUCUGGGAUAAGCCCGGGAAACUGGGUCUAAUACCGGAUAUGACUUCAUGACGCAUGUUGUGGAGUGGAAAGCCUUGUGCGGCUGAGGAUGGGCCCGCGGCCUAUCAGCUUGUUGGUGGGGUGANGGCCUACCAAGGCGACGACGGGUAGCCGGCCUGAGAGGGCGACCGGCCACACUGGGACUGAGAUACGGCCCAGACUCCUACGGGAGGCAGCAGUGGGGAAUCUUGCGCAAUGGGCGAAAGCCUGACGCAGCGACGCGCCGUGAGGAGUGAC
This 383-nucleotide ribosomal RNA is filed under the name uncultured bacterium. RNAcentral describes it as "bacterial SSU rRNA". It matches the Rfam family "Bacterial small subunit ribosomal RNA", at positions 28 to 412 of the family's 1533-position model. The record is from RNAcentral.